GAUGAACGCUGGCGGCGUGCUUAACACAUGCAAGUCGAACGAAGCACUUUAUUUGAUUUCCUUCGGGACUGAUUAUUUUGUGACUGAGUGGCGGACGGGUGAGUAACGCGUGGGUAACCUGCCUUGUACAGGGGGAUAACAGUUGGAAACGGCUGCUAAUACCGCAUAAGCGCACGGCAUCGCAUGAUGCAGUGUGAAAAACUCCGGUGGUAUAAGAUGGACCCGCGUUGGAUUAGCUAGUUGGUGAGGUAACGGCCCACCAAGGCGACGAUCCAUAGCCGACCUGAGAGGGUGACCGGCCACAUUGGGACUGAGACACGGCCCAAACUCCUACGGGAGGCAGCAGUGGGGAAUAUUGCACAAUGGGCGAAAGCCUGAUGCAGCGACGCCGCGUGAGCGAAGAAGUAUUUCGGUAUGUAAAGCUCUAUCAGCAGGGAAGAUAAUGACGGUACCUGACUAAGAAGCACCAGCUAAAUACGUG
Molecule: ribosomal RNA, 481 nt
Filed under: uncultured bacterium
Lineage: Bacteria
Description: partial 16S ribosomal RNA
Rfam family: Bacterial small subunit ribosomal RNA
Source: RNAcentral